This 253-nucleotide ribosomal RNA is filed under the name uncultured bacterium. RNAcentral describes it as "partial 16S ribosomal RNA". It matches the Rfam family "Bacterial small subunit ribosomal RNA", at positions 524 to 776 of the family's 1533-position model. The record is from RNAcentral.
UACGUAGGGUGCGAGCGUUAAUCGGAAUUACUGGGCGUAAAGCGUGCGCAGGCGGCUUCGCAAGUCAGACGUGAAAUCCCCGGGCUUAACCUGGGAAUGGCGUUUGAAACUACGGAGCUGGAGUGUGGCAGAGGGAGGUAGAAUUCCACGUGUAGCGGUGAAAUGCGUAGAUAUGCGGAGGAACACCGAUGGCGAAGGCAAUCCCCUGGGCCUGCACUGACGCUCAUGCACGAAAGCGUGGGGAGCAAACAGG